UACGGUGUACCGCGAGUUAA
This 20-nucleotide small nuclear RNA is filed under the name Arabidopsis thaliana (thale cress). RNAcentral describes it as "snRNA_11411". Lineage: Eukaryota; Viridiplantae; Streptophyta; Magnoliopsida; Brassicales; Brassicaceae. The record is from RNAcentral.